UACAUAGGGUGCGAGCGUUAAUCGGAAUUACUGGGCGUAAAGCGUGCGCAGGCGGUUUUGUAAGACCGAUGUGAAAUCCCCGGGCUUAAUCUGGGAAUGGCAUUUUGAACUGGCAGUCUAGAGUGUGUCAGAGGGGGGUGGAAUUCCACGUGUAGCAGUGAAAUGCGUAGAUAUGUGGAGGAACACCAAUGGCGAAGGCAGCCCCCUGGGAUAACACUGACGCUCAUGCACGAAAGCGUGGGUAGCAAACAGG
RNAcentral lists this ribosomal RNA (253 nucleotides) under uncultured bacterium. Its description in RNAcentral is "partial 16S ribosomal RNA". It matches the Rfam family "Bacterial small subunit ribosomal RNA", at positions 524 to 776 of the family's 1533-position model. The record is from RNAcentral.